GAAGUAGCGGUUAAAAACCGUACUCCGAAUUGCAAACUCGGGAACGAAUACUUAAAAUUCCUACUUCU
This 68-nucleotide transfer RNA is filed under the name Philine kinglipini. Its description in RNAcentral is "tRNA-Cys". Lineage: Eukaryota; Metazoa; Mollusca; Gastropoda; Cephalaspidea; Philinidae. The record is from RNAcentral.